Molecule: ribosomal RNA, 738 nt
Filed under: Klebsiella pneumoniae
Lineage: Bacteria; Pseudomonadati; Pseudomonadota; Gammaproteobacteria; Enterobacterales; Enterobacteriaceae
Description: bacterial SSU rRNA
Rfam family: Bacterial small subunit ribosomal RNA
Source: RNAcentral
AAGGUUCGCGCCAUAACACGUGCAGUCGAGCGGUAGCACAGAGAUCUUGCUCUCGGGUGACGAGCGGGCGAUAGGAGGGAGUAAUGUCUGGGAAACUGCCUGAUGGAGGGCUUAUAACUACUGGAAACGGUAGCUAAUACCGCAUAACGUCGCAAGACCAAAGUGGGGGACCUUCGGGCCUCAUGCCAUCAGAUGUGCCCAGAUGGGAUUAGCUAGUAGGUGGGGUAACGGCUCACCUAGGCGACGAUCCCUAGCUGGUCUGAGAGGAUGACCAGCCACACUGGAACUGAGACACGGUCCAGACUCCUACGGGAGGCAGCAGUGGGGAAUAUUGCACAAUGGGCGCAAGCCUGAUGCAGCCAUGCCGCGUGUAUGAAGAAGGCCUUCGGGUUGUAAAGUACUUUCAGCGGGGAGGAAGGCGAUAAGGUUAAUAACCUUGUCGAUUGACGUUACCCGCAGAAGAAGCACCGGCUAACUCCGUGCCAGCAGCCGCGGUAAUACGGAGGGUGCAAGCGUUAAUCGGAAUUACUGGGCGUAAAGCGCACGCAGGCGGUCUGUCAAGUCGGAUGUGAAAUCCCCGGGCUCAACCUGGGAACUGCAUUCGAAACUGGCAGGCUAGAGUCUUGUAGAGGGGGGUAGAAUUCCAGGUGUAGCGGUGAAAUGCGUAGAGAUCUGGAGGAAUACCGGUGGCGAAGGCGGCCCCCUGGACAAAGACUGACGCUCAGGUGCGAAAGCGUG